GGAGUCAUAUUAUUUUAUAUCUACUUAAAAUUACUCAUACAGGCCUCCUUGUGGUACACCUCAGCCUAGGCCAUUGUGCCUGAUCUGUAUUGUGAAUGGAGAGACAUGG
Small nucleolar RNA from Phodopus roborovskii (desert hamster), 109 nucleotides. RefSeq annotates it as small nucleolar RNA SNORA51. The record is from RefSeq and is a predicted model, not a curated record. NCBI's taxonomy places the organism in Eukaryota, Metazoa, Chordata, Mammalia, Rodentia, Cricetidae. The transcript has a single exon.